Molecule: ribosomal RNA, 815 nt
Filed under: Escherichia coli
Lineage: Bacteria; Pseudomonadati; Pseudomonadota; Gammaproteobacteria; Enterobacterales; Enterobacteriaceae
Description: partial 23S ribosomal RNA
Rfam family: Bacterial large subunit ribosomal RNA
Source: RNAcentral
CCGGUAAACGGCGGCCGUAACUAUAACGGUCCUAAGGUAGCGAAAUUCCUUGUCGGGUAAGUUCCGACCUGCACGAAUGGCGUAAUGAUGGCCAGGCUGUCUCCACCCGAGACUCAGUGAAAUUGAACUCGCUGUGAAGAUGCAGUGUACCCGCGGCAAGACGGAAAGACCCCGUGAACCUUUACUAUAGCUUGACACUGAACAUUGAGCCUUGAUGUGUAGGAUAGGUGGGAGGCUUUGAAGUGUGGACGCCAGUCUGCAUGGAGCCGACCUUGAAAUACCACCCUUUAAUGUUUGAUGUUCUAACGUUGGCCCCUGAUCGGGGUUGCGGACAGUGUCUGGUGGGUAGUUUGACUGGGGCGGUCUCCUCCUAAAGAGUAACGGAGGAGCACGAAGGUUGGCUAAUCCUGGUCGGACAUCAGGAGGUUAGUGCAAUGGCAUAAGCCAGCUUGACUGCGAGCGUGACGGCGCGAGCAGGUGCGAAAGCAGGUCAUAGUGAUCCGGUGGUUCUGAAUGGAAGGGCCAUCGCUCAACGGAUAAAAGGUACUCCGGGGAUAACAGGCUGAUACCGCCCAAGAGUUCAUAUCGACGGCGGUGUUUGGCACCUCGAUGUCGGCUCAUCACAUCCUGGGGCUGAAGUAGGUCCCAAGGGUAUGGCUGUUCGCCAUUUAAAGUGGUACGCGAGCUGGGUUUAGAACGUCGUGAGACAGUUCGGUCCCUAUCUGCCGUGGGCGCUGGAGAACUGAGGGGGGCUGCUCCUAGUACGAGAGGACCGGAGUGGACGCAUCACUGGUGUUCGGGUUGUCAUGCCAAUG